GCUCUUAUAGCUUAGUGGUAGAGCAGAUGACUGUUAAUCAUCAGGUCGGUGGUUCAAAUCCAUCUAAGAGCGC
Molecule: transfer RNA, 73 nt
Filed under: Bacteroides thetaiotaomicron
Lineage: Bacteria; Pseudomonadati; Bacteroidota; Bacteroidia; Bacteroidales; Bacteroidaceae
Also listed under: 3 other names
Description: tRNA-Asn
Rfam family: tRNA
About the family: Transfer RNA (tRNA) molecules are approximately 80 nucleotides in length.
Source: RNAcentral